This 289-nucleotide signal recognition particle RNA is filed under the name Sphenodon punctatus (tuatara). RNAcentral's name for it is "Metazoan signal recognition particle RNA (ENSSPUG00000008793.1)". It matches the Rfam family "Metazoan signal recognition particle RNA". Rfam says of the family: The signal recognition particle (SRP) is a universally conserved ribonucleoprotein. The record is from RNAcentral. Lineage: Eukaryota; Metazoa; Chordata; Lepidosauria; Sphenodontia; Sphenodontidae.
GCUGGGCACGGUGGCUUGUGCCUGUAAUUCCAGCUCCCUGGGAGGCUGAGGCUGUAGGAUUGCUUAAGCUCAGGAGUUCUGGGCUGCAGUUGGUCAUGCUGAUCAGGUGUCCACACUAAGGUCAGCAUCAAUAUGGUGACCUGUGGGAAGCUGGAAGUUACCAGGUUGUCUAAGAAGGAGUGAACCGGCCCAGGUCAAGAAUGGAGCAGGCCAAAGCUCCUGUGGUGGGAUUGCACCUGUGGUUGGUCCCUGCAGCCCAGCCUUCAUAAGAAAGUAAGACACAGUCUCU